Molecule: ribosomal RNA, 488 nt
Filed under: uncultured bacterium
Lineage: Bacteria
Description: bacterial SSU rRNA
Rfam family: Bacterial small subunit ribosomal RNA
Source: RNAcentral
CGCUGGCGGCGUGCUUAACACAUGCAAGUCGAACGGGGAUAGCGUUGGAAGGCUUCGGCCGGAAGAUGCUAUUCGAGUGGCGGACGGGUGAGUAACGCGUGAACAAUCUGUCCCAGACAGGGGGAUAACACUUGGAAACAGGUGCUAAUACCGCAUGAGACCACGGUAUCGCAUGGUACAGGGGUAAAAGGAGUAAUCCGGUUUGGGGUGAGUUCGCGUCCGAUUAGCCAGUUGGCGGGGUAACGGCCCACCAAAGCGACGAUCGGUAGCCGAUCUGAGAGGAUGACCGGCCACAUUGGAACUGAGAGACGGUCCAAACUCCUACGGGAGGCAGCAGUGGGGAAUAUUGGGCAAUGGGCGAAAAAGCCUGACCCAGCAACGCCGCGUGAGUGAAGAAGGCCUUCGGGUUGUAAAGCUCUGUUAUAGGGGACGAAGGAAGUGACGGUACCCUAUAAGGAAGCCCCGGCUAACUACGUGCCAGCCGCCGC